UAGGGAAUUUUUCACAAUGAGCGGAAGCUUGAUGGAGCAAUGCCGCGUGAACGAUGAAGGUCUUUAAGAUUGUAAAGUUCUUUUAUUUGGGAAGAAUGACAGCAGGUAAUAGCUAGAGUUUGACUGUACCAUUUUGAAUAAGUGACGACUAACUAUGUGCCAGCAGUCGCGGUAAUACAUAGGUCGCAAGCGUUAUCCGGAUUUAUUGGGCGUAAAGCAAGCGCAGGCGGAUUGAAAAGUCUGGUGUUAAAGGCAGCUGCUUAACAGUUGUAUGCAUUGGAAACUAUUAAUCUAGAGUGUGGUAGGGAGUUUUGGAAUUUCAUGUGGAGCGGUGAAAUGCGUAGAUAUAUGAAGGAACACCAGUGGCGAAGGCGAAAACUUAGGCCAUUACUGACGCUUAGGCUUGAAAGUGUGGGGAGCAAAUAGGAUUAGAUACCCUAGUAGUCCACACCGUAAACGAUAGAUACUAGCUGUCGGGGCGAUCCCCUCGGUAGUGAAGUUAACACAUUAAGUAUCUCGCCUGGGUAGUACAUUCGCAAGAAUG
This 544-nucleotide ribosomal RNA is filed under the name uncultured bacterium. RNAcentral's name for it is "bacterial SSU rRNA". It matches the Rfam family "Bacterial small subunit ribosomal RNA", at positions 355 to 896 of the family's 1533-position model. The record is from RNAcentral.